Long non-coding RNA from Aquila chrysaetos chrysaetos, 377 nucleotides. RefSeq lists it as uncharacterized. The record is from RefSeq and is a predicted model, not a curated record. The transcript is spliced from 3 exons. NCBI's taxonomy places the organism in Eukaryota, Metazoa, Chordata, Aves, Accipitriformes, Accipitridae.
AGAUCCUCUCCUCUGAAGAGAGCAUCAUUGAGGAAAAGCAAUGAGAUAAGCAAUAUGGACCAGAAGAAUAUAAAGAGAUCCUGAUGGCUGUCAGAACAUAGCAGUUGGCCUUGAAGACAAACUGCCUUCCAGCCACAAUCCCUUACCAUGGCUGACACAGCGUGCUUUGGAAGCAGGUACAUGGUGACCUCCACAGAUGGCAGCCAGCAGCAGAAACACAGUUGGACCUGCAGCGAUAACAGCACAACAAAAAAGGCUGGCACUUUGGAUUGCAACAUUACUGAAAUGAAAAGCGUGAACGCUACAGGAAUUUCUGGUCUAUGGAAAAAUGUUAUUUUUGGAUUCUUCAGGAAGGCGUGCAUAUAAAACCACUGGUU